Molecule: long non-coding RNA, 1060 nt
Filed under: Bos indicus x Bos taurus (hybrid cattle)
Lineage: Eukaryota; Metazoa; Chordata; Mammalia; Artiodactyla; Bovidae
Description: lncRNA (ENSBIXG00005005325.1)
Source: RNAcentral
AUCAAGUUGCCUUUGAAAGCGUGUCUGUUCAGUCGCUCAGUUGUGGCUGACUCUUCUGCGACCCCACGGACUGGAGCAAAGCAGGCUCCUCUGUCCAUGGGAUUCUCCAGGCAAGAAUACUGGAGUGGGUUGCCAUUUCCUCACCCAGGAGAUCUUCCUGACCCAGGAAUCGAACCCACGUCUCCUGCGUCUCCUGCAUCGCAGGCGGAUUCUUCACCCACUUAGCCACCUGAGAAGCCCUGCCUUUGAAAUUGCGAGUAAAUAUAAUGACAGAUGAUGCGAAGUGUGGUCAUGAAUCUCUGAGUAUUUACAAUCAAUACCUUAAACCUGGCACUUCUCUUGCAAUCUUCUGAAGGAGGCUGUGUGAUUCCACUGGUAGAAUGAGCUCAAUGGUAAGACUGAAUGAGCUGAUUUUCCUUCAGUAUGUGACGGCAACACUUAAGCACAGAGACUUAUUUGUUCAAAAGACAAAGAAUCUCAAAAGUGACCUGCCUGCUUCAUCUUCAGCUCUUGAAAAUCACUAUAUAUGGAGUCCAGAUGAAAAGUGAGAUAGGAAGCUCCAAAAAAGACACCCAGAAAAAAAAUCCUCCUUCCUGAUCAGAAGCUUCCAUUUAGUGACAAGAAGAAGCCCAUCUGCUGAUGUCAGCAAAGCAGCAUUGGCCUCUGUGCGCUUUCUGAUGUGAGUCCUCUGUAUGAAGUAAGUGGAACAGCUAAACAACUGUGUUUUGCUUUACUUUACAUACCUUCAGCUUGAUUUCAAAGUCUGCAAGUUGUAUUUCCUAGAUCUUUGGAAAUUGGUGUGUGUGUGUGUGUGUGUGUGUGUGUGCAUGUGUGUGUGUGUUUAAAUUGCCUAUCAGAGUGUAUUACUUUGCUAACAAAGGUCUGUCUAGUCAAAGCUAUGGUUUUUCCAGUAGUCACGUAUGGAUGUGAGAGCCGGACGAUAAAGAACGCUGGGGGCUGAAGAAUUAUACCUUCGAACUGUGGUGCUGGAGAAGACUCUCGAGAGUCCCUCGGAUAGCAAGGAGAUCAAACAAGUCAAUCCUAAAGGAAAUCAACCCUG